AACGCGAAGAACCUUACCUGGGCUCGAACGGCUUAAGAUCAUCUUUGGAAACAGAGACUUCUCGCAAGAGACUUGAGUCGAGGUGCUGCAUGGCUGUCGUCAGCUCGUGUCGUGAGAUGUUGGGUUAAGUCCCGCAACGAGCGCAACCCUUAUCGUUAGUUGCCAUCGGGUCAAGCCGGGCACUCUAGCGAAACCGCCCAGGAUAACUGGGAGGAAGGUGGGGAUGACGUCAAGUCCUCAUGGCCUUUAUGUCCAGGGCUACACACGUGCUACAAUGGUCGGUACAAACCGUCGCAAACCCGCGAGGGGGAGCUAAUCGGAAAAAGCCGACCUCAGUUCGGAUUGGAGUCUGCAACCCGACUCCAUGAAGCUGGAAUCGCUAGUAAUCGCAGAUCAGAACGCUGCGGUGAAUACGUUCCCGGGCCUUGUACACACCGAGUAUA
This 443-nucleotide ribosomal RNA is filed under the name uncultured bacterium. Its description in RNAcentral is "bacterial SSU rRNA". It matches the Rfam family "Bacterial small subunit ribosomal RNA", at positions 958 to 1398 of the family's 1533-position model. The record is from RNAcentral.